CGCGUAGGUGGUUUGUUAAGUUGAAUGUGAAAUCCCCGGGCUCAACCUGGGAACUGCAUCCAAAACUGGCAAGCUAGAGUAGGGCAGAGGGUGGUGGAAUUUCCUGUGUAGCGGUGAAGUGCGUAGAUAUAGGAAGGAACACCAGUGGCGAAGGCGACCACCUGGGCUCAUACUGACACUGAGGUGCGAAAGCGUGGGGAGCAAACA
RNAcentral lists this ribosomal RNA (207 nucleotides) under uncultured bacterium. RNAcentral's name for it is "partial 16S ribosomal RNA". It matches the Rfam family "Bacterial small subunit ribosomal RNA", at positions 568 to 774 of the family's 1533-position model. The record is from RNAcentral.